ACCUUUUCAGAUGAACUCUUGGCUUUUUUCCUUGACAAUAAAUCCAGAUUUAACUGGGUUAUUCACUGAAGUCUAUUUCUUUGCUGAACUUUUCCUAUUGUUUUUAUAUUCUCAGAGGAGAUACAACAGCCACGUCUAACAUACAAUGUGCAACAUUUGUAACUUAUUUUGCAAGUUUGUUUUCCAUGUGGUGGAAAAAUUGCAAAAAGAAGGUUGGAUGAUCACUUUAAUUUUUUUUUAACGUAAAGAAAGCAAAAAAAAAACCCACCAAAAAACCCACAUUCCCAGCAACCUCCAAGUCUUGGAGCCAGUCAAUAUAUUUACAGGGGUGACUCAUGGAUGGCUUUUUUAUUGCAUUGUGUGAAGCUGGAUUUGUAUACCUAACUAAAAAGGAAUCCAGAAAGCAGGCUUGGCCAGUGGAAGUGAGAAUACAUGGAGAAAAGGUAGGUAGGCGAAAUCUUUCUGUGGGAAUGGCUGCUUACUGAGGACUGUAGUUCUGUGGACAGAAGUCACUUAGAAAAUGGAGUUUAUAAGGGCCAUUCCCCUAGACCAGUUACAUGUAGUGGGACUAUUGUUUCCCAUAUAGCAUGUUUGAGGGCCGGAUUAUAUUAAGAUUGAUGUUAUACAGUGAAGUCUAUGGAGCUGUAGAGAAGACUGGAGGCCCCAGGCCUCGUUUGGAGGACCCCAAGCCUCCAGUUGGACAGCCCUGCCCUAGACUAUAAUAUAUAUUAUUAUAGUUCACUUACUAGGGGCAAAAAAAAAAAUUAAAAAAAAAUGACUCAUGGAGGAGGGGCUUUUGGUACUGUCUGGUGUAGGAUGUGUUGUUAUUGUAGGUCACAGUGAAACAUUCAGUUGCUUUUAAAACAGUGUAACCUAAUCCUUCAGCUCCAGAAAGAUAAACCUGUUUAACUGGUUUGUGAACUUUUAUCUUAAGGGACCAGUGAUGUCAUGGUCAUAUAUCCCUCAGCCUUAAAUUACAGUCAGUGUUAGCGACUUGAAGAGACUCUUCAGCACUCACUUGUGCUAUAGCCAAAGACAUAAGGAAAGGUGCAGCUUUAGGCAAGCUGGCAGGUGAUUUCCCACAAUGUCACUGUUAAUAUUAUGGUAGGCUGGUUCUCACACAGAUUAUUUGAAUAAUUCAUAUCUUCUAAGGAAUACCCCAUGGUGUGGCUCUUUUUUUCCUGGGCGACAUGAAAAGAACCAGGCUGUGGCAUUCACUAGCAAGUGUCAGCGCUGCUCUACCAUUUGACCACUGCUUGGUUGGAUAUCAAUAUAAUGUCAUUUUGUAUUGAACAAUCUAUAUCCUUAAAGAGAGAAGAGAGGAAAGAGAGAAGAAGGAAGAGAGAAGUGGUCCCAUUCUUGAUAAAUAGUGGGGCCAAAGGGUGAAUAAGAAAAACACAACAAGAAAAUAAAAAUAAAAGAAAAAAAAAAAUUUAACGUGACGGUUUCUUUAUAUUCAAAAUUGGUCAUUUGAACUUAAUAGUAUGGUGUAGCCUUUGAGGUCCCAUAUUAAAAAUAAAACUCAAUAAGGUCAGCAUCUGUGGGAGAACCGUUUGUAUUCAGCCCCAAUAAAGUUUACCUUGAUUCUUA
Long non-coding RNA from Xenopus tropicalis (tropical clawed frog), 1590 nucleotides. RefSeq lists it as uncharacterized. The transcript is spliced from 4 exons. The record is from RefSeq and is a predicted model, not a curated record. NCBI's taxonomy places the organism in Eukaryota, Metazoa, Chordata, Amphibia, Anura, Pipidae.